Molecule: ribosomal RNA, 1553 nt
Filed under: Brevibacillus laterosporus
Lineage: Bacteria; Bacillati; Bacillota; Bacilli; Caryophanales; Paenibacillaceae
Also listed under: 1 other name
Description: partial 23S ribosomal RNA
Rfam family: Bacterial large subunit ribosomal RNA
Source: RNAcentral
GGUUAAGUUAAUAAGGGCACACGGUGGAUGCCUUGGCGUUAGGAGCCGAAGAAGGACGCAGCGAACUGCGAUAAGCCUCGGGGAGUGGUAAGCACACUUUGAUCCGGGGAUUUCCGAAUGGGGGAACCCACCAUCUGUAAUGGGAUGGUAUCCUUCACUGAAUACAUAGGUGAUGAGAGGGCAGACCCGGUGAACUGAAACAUCUAAGUAGCCGGAGGAAGAGAAAACAAUAGUGAUUCCGUCAGUAGUGGCGAGCGAACGCGGAAGAGCCUAAACCGUAGGAUUUAUCCUACGGGGUUGUGGGGCGUUUCAUAUAGGAGUUACAAAAGACAGAUGUAGGUGAACAGUUUGGGAAGACUGACCAAAGAGCGUGAUAGUCGCGUAACCCAAACAUCUGUCUCUCCGAGACCAACCCCGAGUAGCGCGGGACACGUGAAAUCCCGUGUGAAUCUGGCAGGACCAUCUGCUAAGGCUAAAUACUACCUAACGACCGAUAGUGAACCAGUACCGUGAGGGAAAGGUGAAAAGCACCCCGGGAGGGGAGUGAAAUAGUACCUGAAACCGUGUGCUUACAAAUAGUCGGAGCACUUUCUAUGUGUGACGGCGUGCCUUUUGUAGAAUGAACCGGCGAGUUACGAUAGCGUGCGAGGUUAAGUCGAAGAGACGGAGCCGUAGCGAAAGCGAGUCUGAAUAGGGCGAAAGUACGUUGUCGUAGACCCGAAACCGUGUGAUCUAGCCAUGUCCAGGGUGAAGGUAGGGUAACACCUACUGGAGGCCCGAACCCACGCACGUUGAAAAGUGCGGGGAUGAGGUGUGGCUAGCGGUGAAAUUCCAAUCGAACUCGGAGAUAGCUGGUUCUCCCCGAAAUAGCUUUAGGGCUAGCCUCGGAAUAAAGAGUCUUGGAGGUAGAGCACUGAUUGGACUAGGGGCCCUCAUCGGGUUACCGAAUUCAGUCAAACUCCGAAUGCCAAGUACUUAUGUCCGGGAGUCAGACGGUGAGUGCUAAGAUCCAUCGUCAAAAGGGAAACAGCCCAGACCAUCAGCUAAGGCCCCCAAGUGUAUGUUAAGUGGGAAACGAUGUGGAGUUGCCCAGACAACCAGGAUGUUGGCUUAGAAGCAGCCACCAUUUAAAGAGUGCGUAAUAGCUCACUGGUCGAGUGACUCUGCGCGGAAAAUGUAACGGGGCUAAACAUACCGCCGAAGCUAUGGCAGUCCUUAUGGACUGGGUAGGGGAGCGUUCCAAGCAGCAGUGAAGCCGUAUCGUGAGGAGCGGUGGAGCGCUUGGAAGUGAGAAUGCCGGUGUAAGUAGCGAAAAGACAAGUGAGAAUCUUGUCCACCGAAAGCCUAAGGUUUCCUGGGGAAGGCUCGUCCUCCCAGGGUUAGUCGGGACCUAAGCUGAGGCCGAAAGGCGUAGGCGAUGGACAACUGGUUGAUAUUCCAGUACCACCUCUGUUCCGCUUGAGCAAUGGCGUGACGCAGGAGGAUAGGGUGAGCGGCCUAUUGGAUGGCCGUCUAAGCAGUAAGUGUGGUGUGUAGGCAAAUCCGCACACCAA